AUGACUCACAAGGAGGGGUGUACGUGUAUCACCCUUGGAAACUAUACUUAUAUAAUAAGGUAUAGUGCAAAAGACAUUCUCCCAAUGCAUUUGUUGAAAAAUCAGUUUUCAAGAACAAGAAAACCAAUGUAUGGAUUUUCGGCCAGGUUGGUUUUUCAAGGAGAAAAACUGAUUUUUGUGCUUAAUAAAAAGAUUCUAGAGUGAAGACAUUCAAUAAUGUGUAGUAGUUGGUGGAGAAGCAAGAACAAAACAAACCAAAAGAAGAGUGAGUUGUUGAAGGAGAAAGUCACGGCCAAGUUGAAGGAAAAAAAAUAAUAAUUCAGUUUUGUUGUUCAAUAAAAUUCUAUGGAGAAGACAAGGAUAAGGAGGAAGAGAAGCAAGAAUAAGUAUAAGAAUUUAAGACACAAAUUGGAUCCAAGUAUUCAAGGAUAAGUGUUUUUGGGAGGCAAGUACAAGUUAUAAUACGACUAAACGCAAAAGGUACAGAUGCACAGUUCGGUAAUCCACCAGUUUAGGACACCCUCUUCUGCAGUUUGGAGUGCUCUUCUUAUUCCGGAGCCUACAUGUUGGUAUAUAUUCGUUCGUUGCAUAUGUAUAUAUUUGUUCAGGGGUACGGCGGGGCCCUGUCCCGCCAUAUGAUUCGGUUGGUCUGUUUAGAGGUCUGUAGAUGUAUUUGUGGGUGUGUGUGCCUACUUCUGUUCA
Molecule: long non-coding RNA, 702 nt
Organism: Lycium barbarum (goji berry)
Lineage: Eukaryota; Viridiplantae; Streptophyta; Magnoliopsida; Solanales; Solanaceae
Exons: 3
Source: RefSeq, a predicted model, not a curated record